This 468-nucleotide ribosomal RNA is filed under the name uncultured bacterium. RNAcentral describes it as "partial 16S ribosomal RNA". It matches the Rfam family "Bacterial small subunit ribosomal RNA", at positions 28 to 507 of the family's 1533-position model. The record is from RNAcentral.
GACGAACGCUGGCGGCGUGCUUAACACAUGCAAGUCGAACGGAAAGGCCCUGCUUUUGUGGGGUGCUCGAGUGGCGAACGGGUGAGUAACACGUGAGUAACCUGCCCUUGACUUUGUGAUAACUUCAGGAAACUGGGGCUAAUACCGGAUAGGAGCUCCUGCUGCAUGGUGGGGGUUGGAAAGUUUCGGCGGUUGGGGAUGUACUCGCGGCUUAUCAGCUUGUUGGUGGGGUAGUGGCUUACCAAGGCUUUGACGGGUAGCCGGCCUGAGAGGGUGACCGGCCACAUUGGGACUGCGAGACGGCCCAGACUCCUACGUGCGGCAGCAGUGGGGAGUAUUGCACAAUGGGCGGAAGCCUGAUGCAGCAACGCCGCGUGCGUGAUGACGGCUUUCGGGUUGUAAACCGCUUUCGCCGGUGAUGAAGCGUGCGUGACGGUAAUGGGUAAAGAAGCAACGGCUAACUACGUG